UACGUAGGGUGCGAGCGUUGUCCGGAAUUAUCGGGCGUAAAGGGCUCGUAGGCGGUUUGUCGCGUCGGGAGUGAAAUCCACUGGCUUAACUGGUGGCUUGCUUUCGAUACGGGCAGACUGGAGGUAUGCAGGGGAGAACGGAAUUCCUGGUGUAGCGGUGAAAUGCGCAGAUAUCAGGAGGAACACCGGUGGCGAAGGCGGUUCUCUGGGCAUGUCCUGACGCUGAGGAGCGAAAGUGUGGGGAGCGAACAGG
RNAcentral lists this ribosomal RNA (253 nucleotides) under uncultured bacterium. RNAcentral's name for it is "partial 16S ribosomal RNA". It matches the Rfam family "Bacterial small subunit ribosomal RNA", at positions 524 to 776 of the family's 1533-position model. The record is from RNAcentral.